This 195-nucleotide ribosomal RNA is filed under the name uncultured Verrucomicrobiales bacterium. Its description in RNAcentral is "partial 16S ribosomal RNA". It matches the Rfam family "Bacterial small subunit ribosomal RNA", at positions 338 to 524 of the family's 1533-position model. The record is from RNAcentral. Lineage: Bacteria; Pseudomonadati; Verrucomicrobiota; Verrucomicrobiia; Verrucomicrobiales.
CCUACGGGAGGCAGCAGUCGAGAAUUUUUCACAAUGGACGAAAGUCUGAUGGAGCGACGCCGCGUGGAGGAUGAAGGUUUUCGGAUUGUAAACUCCUGUCACUGCAGAACAAGGCUAUGCUCGUUAACAGCGAAUGUAGUUGAUGGUAUGCGGAGAGGAAGGGACGGCUAACUCUGUGCCAGCAGCCGCGGUAAU